GACGAACGCUGGCGGCGUGCUUAACACAUGCAAGUCGGACGGAAAGGCCCUUCGGGGUACUCGAGUGGCGAACGGGUGAGUAACACGUGGGUGAUCUGCCCUGCACUUUGGGAUAAGCCUGGGAAACUGGGUCUAAUACCGAAUAGGACCACGCGCUUCAUGGUGUGUGGUGGAAAGCUUUUGCGGUGUGGGAUGGGCCCGCGGCCUAUCAGCUUGUUGGUGGGGUAAUGGCCUACCAAGGCGACGACGGGUAGCCGGCCUGAGAGGGUGACCGGCCACACUGGGACUGAGAUACGGCCCAGACUCCUACGGGAGGCAGCAGUGGGGAAUAUUGCACAAUGGGCGCAAGCCUGAUGCAGCGACGCCGCGUGAGGGAUGACGGCCUUCGGGUUGUAAACCUCUUUCAAUAGGGACGAAGCGCAAGUGACGGUACCUAUAGAAGAAGCACCGGCCAACUACGUG
This 462-nucleotide ribosomal RNA is filed under the name uncultured bacterium. Its description in RNAcentral is "partial 16S ribosomal RNA". It matches the Rfam family "Bacterial small subunit ribosomal RNA", at positions 28 to 507 of the family's 1533-position model. The record is from RNAcentral.